AUGCCAUGCUGCCUCCUGAAAUGGCCAUGGAGAAGUUGUGCGAUGCAGAGCGGUACACGCUCCAGGAUUAAAGUAUCGAAGGGAUGUUUCUGAACCAGAAGAAAGGGAGAGUUGGGAGACAGAAUGAACAAGCGUCAGGGUGACCGUCGAUGCCAUCUCUGUGGAAACUCUGCAGGACGUUCUUCGGGCUUCGCAGGGAAAGAGUGUCACCCUGCCCUGCACCUACCACACUUCCACCUCCAGUCGAGAGGGACUUAUUCAAUGGGAUAAGCUUCUCCGCACUCAUACGGAAAGGGUGGUCAUCUGGCAGUUUUCAAACAAAAACUACAUCUAUGGUGAGCUUUAUAAGAAUCGUGUCAGCAUAUCCAGCAAUGCUGAGCAGUCCGAUGCCUCCAUCACCAUUGAUCAGCUGACCAUGGCUGACAACGGCACCUACGAGUGUUCUGUCUCGCUGAUGUCAGACCUGGAGGGCACCACCAAGUCACGUGUCCGCCUCUUGGUCCUCGUGCCACCCUCCAAACCAGAAUGCGGCAUCGAGGGAGAGACCAUAAUUGGGAACAACAUCCAGCUGACCUGCCAAUCAAAGGAGGGCUCACCAACCCCUCAGUACAGCUGGAAGAGGUACAACAUCCUGAAUCAGGAGCAGCCCCUGGCCCAGCCAGCCUCAGGUCAGCCUGUCUCCCUGAAGAAUAUCUCCACAGACACAUCGGGUUACUACAUCUGUACCUCCAGCAAUGAGGAGGGGACGCAGUUCUGCAACAUCACGGUGGCCGUCAGAUCUCCCUCCAUGAACGUGGCCCUGUAUGUGGGCAUCGCGGUGGGCGUGGUUGCAGCCCUCAUUAUCAUUGGCAUCAUCAUCUACUGCUGCUGCUGCCGAGGGAAGGACGACAACACUGAAGACAAGGAGGAUGCAAGGCCGAACCGGGCAGCCUAUGAGGAGCCACCAGAGCAGCUAAGAGAACUUUCCAGAGAGACGGAGGAGGAGGAUGACUACAGGCAAGAAGAGCAGAGGAGCACUGGGCGUGAAUCCCCAGACCACCUCGACCAGUGACGGGCCAGCAGCAGAGGGCGGCGGAGGAAGGGUUAGGGGUUCAUUCUCCUGCUUCCUGGCCUCCCUUCUCCUUUCUAAGCCCUGUUCUCCUGUCCCUCCAUCCCAGACAUUGAUGGGGACAUUUCUUCCCCAGUGUCAGCUGUGGGGAACAUGGCUGGCCUGGUAAGGGGGUCCCUGUGCUGAUCCUGCUGACCUCACUGUCCUGUGAAGUAACCCCUCCCGGCUGUGACACCUGGUGCAGGGCCUGGCCCUCACUCAAGACCAGGCUGCAGCCUCCACUUCCCUCGUAACUGGCAGGAGCUCCUGGAAGCACAGCGCUGAGCAUGGGGCGCUCCCACUCAGAACUCUCCAGGGAGGCGAUGCCAGCCUUGGGGGGUGGGGGCUGCCCUGCUCACCUGUGUGCCCAGCACCUGGAGGGGCACCAGGUGGAGGGUUUGCACUCCACACAUUUUUCUUGAGUGAAUGAAAGAAUAAGUGAGUAUGCUUGGGGCCCUGCAUUGGCCUGGCCUCCAGCUCCCACUCUCUUUCCAACCUCACUUCCCGUAGCUGCCAGUAUGUUCCAAACCCUCCUGGGAAGGCCACCUCCCACUCCUGCUGCACAGGCCCUGGGGAGCUUUUGCCCACACACUUUCCAUCUCUGCCUGUCAAUAUCCUACCUGUCCCUCCAGGCCCAUCUCAAAUCACAAGGAUUUCUCUAACCCUAUCCUAAUUGUCCACAUACAUGGAAACAAUCCUGUUACUCUGUCCCACAUCCAAUCAUGAGCCACAAGGCACAGUCUUCUGAGCGAGUGCCUCUCACUGUAUUAGAGCGCCAGCUCCCUGGGGCAGGGCCUGGGCCUCAUGGCUUUUGCUUUCCCUGAAGCCCUAGUAGCCGGCACCCAUCCUGGUGGGCACUUAAGCUUAAUUGGGGAAACUGCUUUGAUUGGUUGUGCCUUCCCUUCUCUGGUCUCCUUGAGAUGAUCAUAGACACAGGGAUGAUUCCCACCCAAACCCACGUAUUCAUUCAGUGAGUUAAACACGAAUUGAUUUAAAGUGAACACACACAAGGGAGCUUGCUUGCAGAUGGUCUGAGUUCUUGUGUCCUGGUAAUUCCUCUCCAGGCCAGAAUAAUUGGCAUGUCUCCUCAACCCACACGGGGUUCCUGGUUGUUCCUGCAUUCCGAUACCUCAGCCCUGGCCCUGCCCAGGCCAUUCGGGCUCUGGUUUUCUGGUGGGGCUGUCCUGCUGCCCUCCCACAGCCUCCCUCUGUUUGUCAAGCAUUUCUUCUACUCUUGAGAGCUCAGGCAGCGUUAGGGCUGCUUAGGUCUCAUGGCCCAGUGGCUGGUCUCACCCAACUGCAGUUUACUAUUGCUAUCUUUUCUGGAUGAUCAGAAAAAUAAUUCCAUAAAUCUAUUGUCUACUUGCGAUUUUAAAAAAAAUGUAUAUUUUUAUAUAUAUUGUUAAAUCCUUUGCUUCAUUCCAAAUGCUUUCAGUAAUAAUAAAAUUGUGGGUGGAAAUUCUUA
This 2552-nucleotide small RNA is filed under the name Pan troglodytes (chimpanzee). RNAcentral describes it as "processed transcript". The record is from RNAcentral. Lineage: Eukaryota; Metazoa; Chordata; Mammalia; Primates; Hominidae.